Long non-coding RNA from Drosophila biarmipes, 564 nucleotides. RefSeq lists it as uncharacterized. The transcript is spliced from 3 exons. The record is from RefSeq and is a predicted model, not a curated record. Lineage: Eukaryota; Metazoa; Arthropoda; Insecta; Diptera; Drosophilidae.
AGUUUAUUCCUGGAGUUCAAACCGGCAACAUCUCCGGAACUAAGCUCUAAAUUCUCAGUUUGGUUUUAUAAAGUAUUUUUCGGCUAGUUUUAAGCAUAAAGUGAAUAAAUUUUGUAUCCUAAACACCACAAAUUACAUUACACGUGUUGAUUGGUCACAAGUGUAGUACUAAAGAAGUGAAGACACGAAUUCGGAUAUGAUGGCUCUCACUGCGCACACUGUGUUCCUGACCUCCAUCGGAAUCGUCACACCAUUUGGAUAAGCAAUUUGGGAGCCCCUGGAAAACUCCUGUAACCCCUGAGAGAAGGCGGUGGAACGUAUGACACGGCAACGUCUACUUUUGUAGCCUAGAGAUGAAACGAAAUACUCCACAAUAUAAGUGCUGCUAACCUAAGGGUCUCUCCUGGAAUCUGGUAAAUUCUGCAAACCCUGGAAAAGGCAGAGGAAAACGGUACAAUAUAGAUGAUCCUCCUUUACACAAAUUGAUCACAUAAACAGACGUCUGGAUUAUAAUAUAAUAUUUUCAUUAUAAUAAUAAACAAACAAUUUUACACUUCAAGGAAA